AUGAGUAGCAUACUAUCCCUUAGCUACAAUGAUCUUGCGCCUCAUCUCAAGACUUGCUUGCUGUAUCUAAGUUUGUUUCCCGAAGACCAUCUGAUUUACAGAGAUAGGCUAGUGAGGCGAUGGAUAGCAGAAGGCUUCAUCUCUGAAGAGCGUGGACAGAGCAAGCAAGAGGUCGCCGAGAAUUACUUCUAUGAGCUGAUCAAUAAAAGUAUGGUCCAACCGGUGGGCAUUAAGUAUGAUGGAAAGGUCCAGGCAUGCCGAGUCCAUGAUAUGAUGCUCGAAAUUAUUAUUUCAAAAUCAGCUGAAGAUAAUUUUACCACCGUGGUAGGUGGCGGUCAAACUAGUUUGCCCAAUCAUCAAGGUUCUAUUCGGCGGCUAUCAAUCCAGCACAUUGACAAGAAACUUGCAUCUGAACUGGCAAAUGUAGAUCUCAGCCAUGUUCGAACUUUGAUAGUAAUGCCAUCAUGUUGCAUAAAACACUUGCCCAGUCUUGAUCGGUUUGAAGCUUUACGUGUUCUGGAUUUUGAAGGUUGUGAGGAUCUAAAUGACUGUGAUAUAGAAGGCAUGGACAAAUUAUUCCAGAUAAAGUACCUCAGCUUUAGGGACACAUGUAUAUCAAAUCUGCCAUCAGCGAUCGUCAAGCUAAAUAAUCUAGAGACGCUGGAUGUUGAGAAUACAUCUGUGACAGAGUUGCCUGCAGGAAUUACUCGGCUAACUACACUACGAGACCUAAUUGGUUGUCUGGACAAGCUACCAAAUGGGAUUGGGGGCAUGAGGAACUUACAGUUGAUGCCAAGAUUUACUAUUACCUCGCAAGAAACAGAUGUGUUGGAGGAUCUCGGGAACCUCACAAGUUUGGAGGAACUCGAUGUGGAUCUUGGUAUGAAUGUAUUUGGCUCGGACAAGAGAUGUGAAAAGGAGGCGUUCCUCUCCUCACUGUCCAAGCUUGGCACCUGCAAACUCCAUUCUUUGGAUAUAAAAGGGUUACGUCGUUCCCUCGACUUCUUAGAUUCUUGGUCCCCUCUGCCAUAUUCUCUUCAAAGGUUUUCGGCGCCCUACCCUGAUUCGCUCACGGAUUUUCCAAAGUGGAUUACACCAGCACUCACCAACCUUGCCGAUCUGGAAAUCAGCUUUACUGAAUUGACGCAAGAUGGGCUGCUUACUCUUGGGCAACUCCCAUCCUUACUCCGCCUGAAACUAUGGCCAUCAAGGAAGAACUGA
RNAcentral lists this ribosomal RNA (1221 nucleotides) under Triticum aestivum (bread wheat). Its description in RNAcentral is "partial small subunit ribosomal RNA". Lineage: Eukaryota; Viridiplantae; Streptophyta; Magnoliopsida; Poales; Poaceae. The record is from RNAcentral.